Long non-coding RNA from Arvicanthis niloticus (Nile rat), 1219 nucleotides. RefSeq lists it as uncharacterized. The record is from RefSeq and is a predicted model, not a curated record. NCBI's taxonomy places the organism in Eukaryota, Metazoa, Chordata, Mammalia, Rodentia, Muridae.
UGCUUUGAUGCCAAGCCACACCCUAUCUCUGCCUCUCCACUCUGGCCAGAGUGAGCACCCUCCUCCCUCCAAGGAAGGCAGGACAAAAGAGAGAGGAUCAAGGUCAGAACACAGCAGAGAGGGUGGAGGAGGAAGAGGAGGAAGAAGAAGAGGAGGAGAAGGAGGAGGAAGAGGAAGAGGAGGAGGAGGAGAGAAUGUGAGGAUACAGAUGGGGGAAAGAGAGCCAAACAAGAGAGAGGAAAGGCCAGCAUCAUCUGGCUGGACCAUAGAGGUCCCUUGGCUUCCAGCCAGGGACCACUUGCACCCACCUACCCACUUGUGACAGAGGGAAGCCACUGUUUUGAAUAGACAGUAGCAGAGACUGGCUGCAGUGACAACCCUGAAGACCCUAAGUCAGGUCCCACUCAGAUACUGAUCCCCUCAACUGUCUUUUGAGUGCUGGGAAUCAAACCCAAGGAAGACAGAGAGGCAGACAGAGGUGGAACUGGCGAAGGGGAUAAAUAAACAGCAAUGAGAAGUCAAGCGAGAAGAAAGAUGGCUACAGCCAACAGAGAACCAUAACCAACAGAGGAAACGUGCAAAGGCUGGAAGCUUCUGUGCCCUUCUGGGUUUGUCAGGCAGUGAGGCUGAAUGAGAAACAGUCUGAUGAUUCCUCAAACAGCUAAACAGAAAGGGGCAGAAGACACAACAAUCCUAUUCCUCUGUGUAUCCAGAAAAAACUCGUCUCUGGAUGUCCAGAGGCACAUCAUUCCUACAGCCAAAGAGUUCGGGCAACCCAAUGCUCAUCAACUCAUGAGUGAAUAAAUCAAUGCAGCACACCAUGACAGGAUACUAGGCAGCCACAGGAAGAGUGGAGACAGACAGAAAACGUGGACAGACCUUGUAGUGGUUUAAAUAUGCUUGGCCCAUUGAAAGUGGCACUACUAGGAGGUGUGGCCUUGUUGAAAUGGGUGUGGUCUUGCUGGAGGAAGUGUGUCACUGUAUGGGUGGGCUUUGAGGGCUCCUAGGCAUAGGCUCCGCCCACUGUGGAAGAGAGACCCUCCUCCUGGCUGCCUUCAGAAGAUAGGUCUCUUCCUGGCUGCCUUAAGAUCAAGAUGCAGAACUCUCAGCUCCUUCUCCAGCACCAUGUCUGCCUGGAUGCUGCCAUGCUUCCCAACAUGAUGAUAACGGACUGAACCUCUGAACCUGUAAGCCAGUAUCAAUUAAAUGUUGUCCUUAU